This 508-nucleotide ribosomal RNA is filed under the name uncultured bacterium. Its description in RNAcentral is "partial 16S ribosomal RNA". It matches the Rfam family "Bacterial small subunit ribosomal RNA", at positions 28 to 523 of the family's 1533-position model. The record is from RNAcentral.
GACGAACGCUGGCGGCGUGCUUAACACAUGCAAGUGGAGCGACGAACCAGGGCUUGCCCUGGGGCAGAGCCGCGAACGGGUGAGUAACACGUGGGUAGCCUGCCCAGAUGACCGGGACAACCCGAGGAAACUCGGGCUAAUACCGGAUGUGUUCACCUCACAUCAGUGAGAUGAGGAAAGGAAGCUUCGGCCUCCGCAUCUGGAUGGGCCCGCGGCCCAUUAGUUUGUUGGUGGGGUAAUGGCCUACCAAGACUUCGAUGGGUAGCUGUUCUGAGAGGAAGAUCAGCCACACUGGGACUGAGACACGGCCCAGACUCCUACGGGAGGCAGCAGUGGGAAUCUUGCACAAUGCGCGAAAGCGUGAUGCAGCAACGCCGCGUGCGGGAAGACGGCCUUCGGGCUGUAAACCGCUUUCAGUUGGGACGAAGCUUCGCCGGUGAAUAGCCGGCUGGAGUGACGGUACCUUCAGAAGAAGCCCCGGCUAACUACGUGCCAGCAGCCGCAGUAA